UAUUCAGUCUAGUUCCUACUUUCUUUCAGUUUAUUGCUACUGUAUUUAGUAUAUCUGCUCAUUACCUUAUACAUCUCUUUCGUUUACUAUUGUUCCUACUAUAUUUCCACUGACCCGUGUUGUUGUAUAGCUUUUCCUGAUUCGGUGAGUACUCCUCGCCUUCUUCGGCUUACGGUACCCACUGGGAGGGGAGACAUGUUUACAUGUUCUCACCUCCCCCACUAUUUUUCAGGUAUCGCGGGCGGUGAGGGUUGAGACGAGACGUGAGACAGGUACGUAGCGGUCGAUAGAUCUUCCGACCCAGGUUGUUCGGUUUAGCUCUUACCCUUUUUAUUUCUGUUGAUAUAUAGCUUAGAUAGUUUAUAUGGUUCAGUAUUUUUAUUACAUUUGAAUAUGUGGAUUUUCAUGAAUGUAAUAAAAGGAUUUCUGGAUUUUGUAAAAUAAAGGUUUUCUACCCCUCGUGGUAGCGUUUUUAAAGAAUAAAGGUUUCCGUGUAGGAAACAAUUUUCAAAAGAAUUUUUCGUGGAUUUCUGUUUAAAUAUUGAAUGUAAAACUGUGAUGUGAAUGAUGAAUGUAUGAAUGUGUAGUGAUCUUUAUAUUCAUCUAGUUGUGGUUGUAUCCUGGUUGUAUUCUUGUACUUGUGCGACGCCGUGCAAAUACAGGGGAGACUCUGUCCGUGUGAACAGUGGAUCUCCUGUAUUUGUGGCGGAUCUGGCAUACUCUGGGGUUAGGUUUUUUUUAAAAAAAAAAAGAAAAAAAAAGAAAAAAAAUUUUCAGACGCCUUUCCGCUAUGCUUUAAACUAAAAAGGGACCCAGGGCGUGACAGAUUAAAGUGGU
RNAcentral lists this long non-coding RNA (837 nucleotides) under Ananas comosus (pineapple). RNAcentral describes it as "long non-coding RNA (ACOM_LNC043166)". Lineage: Eukaryota; Viridiplantae; Streptophyta; Magnoliopsida; Poales; Bromeliaceae. The record is from RNAcentral.